This 465-nucleotide ribosomal RNA is filed under the name uncultured bacterium. RNAcentral's name for it is "partial 16S ribosomal RNA". It matches the Rfam family "Bacterial small subunit ribosomal RNA", at positions 339 to 795 of the family's 1533-position model. The record is from RNAcentral.
CUACGGGGCGCACCAGUGGGGAAUAUUGCACAAUGGGCGCAAGCCUGAUGCAGCCAUGCCGCGUGUAUGAAGAAGGCCUUCGGGUUGUAAAGUACUUUCAGCGGGGAGGAAGGGAGUAAAGUUAAUACCUUUGCUCAUUGACGUUACCCGCAGAAGAAGCACCGGCUAACUCCGUGCCAGCAGGCCGCGGUAAUACGGAGGGUGCAAGCGUUAAUCGGAAUUACUGGGCGGAAAGCGCGCGCAGGCGGUUUGUUAAGUCAGAUGUGAAAUCCCCGGGCUCAACCUGGGAACUGCAUCCGAUACUGGCAAGCUUGAGUCUCGUAGAGGGGGGUAGAAUUCCAGGUGUAGCGGUGAAAUGCGUAGAGAUCUGGAGGAAUACCGGUGGCGAAGGCGGCCCCCUGGACGAAGACUGACGCUCAGGUGCGAAAGCGUGGGGAGCAAACAGGAUUAGAUACCCCUGUAGUC